RNAcentral lists this ribosomal RNA (465 nucleotides) under uncultured bacterium. RNAcentral's name for it is "partial 16S ribosomal RNA". It matches the Rfam family "Bacterial small subunit ribosomal RNA", at positions 338 to 795 of the family's 1533-position model. The record is from RNAcentral.
CCUACGGGAGGCAGCAGUAGGGAAUCUUCCACAAUGGACGAAAGUCUGAUGGAGCAACGCCGCGUGAGUGAAGAAGGGUUUCGGCUCGUAAAGCUCUGUUGGUAGUGAAGAAAGAUAGAGGUAGUAACUGGCCUUUAUUUGACGGUAAUUACUUAGAAAGUCACGGCUAACUACGUGCCAGCAGCCGCGGUAAUACGUAGGUGGCAAGCGUUGUCCGGAUUUAUUGGGCGUAAAGCGAGUGCAGGCGGUUCAAUAAGUCUGAUGUGAAAGCCUUCGGCUCAACCGGAGAAUUGCAUCAGAAACUGUUGAACUUGAGUGCAGAAGGGGAGAGUGGAACUCCAGGUGUAGCAGUGAAAUGCGUAGAUAUAUGGAAGAACACCAGUGGCGAAGGCGGCUCGCUGGACUGCAACUGACGCUGAGGCUCGAAAGCAUGGGUAGCGAACGGGAUUAGAUACCCGAGUAGUC